CCUGCUUCUCUGCAUUCCACAGCAGGGGGCUGGGAGCUCCAGGACUUCAGUGAAUGUCAGGGAAGACUCGUGGGUUGCGGGCAGUGGGGAGGCUCGGAACAGAGCUGUCCCUGGGCAAUGCUGGGUCUCUGGCAACUGAGCACAUGGGGCAGGGGGGUGAGGGGGUAUCCAGGCUGUCAAGAUCGCCGGCUUGCAAGGAGGGUCUGCGGUCGGUGUCUUUCUGAGCCCCCGGGGAAGGUUAGUGAUGCCAUCAGCAGUAGCCGAGGCCUUCUGUGCUGCUCCAGUCAAGGUAAAACCUUUGAGGGGACAGACUGUGUUUCUGGCAAGGAAAUGAAGCCCCAAGUUCAUGGGAAGCACCCUGCACUUAAGUGGCUCCCUAGGGGUCAGGCGGCCUGUGAGCACAGUCAGAGGAGGACCUUCGUGCUCCAGGAAUCGACCUUCCUUCUGUGGGUCCAAAAUGAACCGCCAUGUUUUAGCUUCUUGCCCAACCUACAAGGCUUCCUUGGCAGUGGAAGGGCGCACGCGUAAUAUGCCAGCCAGUUUCAGACAAUCAUCGCAGCAACACUUUCCUCUCGACUCAACUGUUCCAAAGAAUCCUGCUCUGAGAAAACGACCUUCCCAUAAACGAAUGUACUGAAACCACGAACAUCUGAACGGUAAGGGAAUAUUUUUCUCCCAUACUGAUGUAUUCAGUUGCUAGGAGAUGGGUCUGGAACAGAAUUCCUAAAUUAAACUUUCUUGCAGACUUUUAUUGAACCUGGCUCUCUAAAGGAACACACGUCGUUUAUCAUGAGUGUCAGUGUGCAAAAACUUGUCGUUUCUGAAGAGAGAAGACACUUAACCAGGUCAGAAAGUAUGUGAUUCAGGCCUCUCACCAUCACAUUAAAAUAAGAGCAUGUCUGUGAGAGGCAGCUGUGUUGGGGAAGGGAAGCAAUAUAUUAAGAGGAAAAAAAAAAAAAGAUCCAGGACUUGUCAUUUAUUAGCUAUGUAACUUUGGAAGAUGACCUAACAUGUCUCAGCCUUGAUUUUACCCCAUCUGUAAAAUGGGGACAAUAUUUUUUUCCAUGAUUUUGCUGUAAAGUAUAAUUAGAUAUUAUAGUAAAAUAAGAUACCUUCUGAAAUAUGAAAUGCUGUUUGGAAACAGAAAUUAUACAAGUUUAUACUAAUGAUAUUUUAUUGCAGAAUAAUAAGCAUGUUUCCCACAUUUAAAAACUGUUUGUUAAAAAAAUCUGUUUGUUAAAAUCUCUUGGGGAAUAAAGCGCACGAUUAGGAAGUGGA
This is a long non-coding RNA of Cervus elaphus (red deer), 1278 nucleotides long. RefSeq lists it as uncharacterized. The transcript is spliced from 2 exons. NCBI's taxonomy places the organism in Eukaryota, Metazoa, Chordata, Mammalia, Artiodactyla, Cervidae. The record is from RefSeq and is a predicted model, not a curated record.